RNAcentral lists this transfer RNA (73 nucleotides) under Stegodyphus mimosarum. It matches the Rfam family "tRNA". Rfam says of the family: Transfer RNA (tRNA) molecules are approximately 80 nucleotides in length. Their secondary structure includes four short double-helical elements and three loops (D, anti-codon, and T loops). Lineage: Eukaryota; Metazoa; Arthropoda; Arachnida; Araneae; Eresidae. The record is from Rfam by way of RNAcentral.
GCCUUCGUGGUGUAAUGGACAGCACACUGAGCCGGUAUUUCAGAGGUCCGUGGUUCGAUUCCCGGCGAAGGCC